RNAcentral lists this small RNA (124 nucleotides) under Marmota monax (woodchuck). Lineage: Eukaryota; Metazoa; Chordata; Mammalia; Rodentia; Sciuridae. The record is from RNAcentral.
GCUGGGCGUGGUGGUGCACACCUGUAAUUCCAGCAGCUCAGGAGGCUGAGGCAGGAUUGUGAGUUCAAAGCCAGCCUCAGCAACUUAGUGAGGCACUUAGCAACUCAGGGAGACCCUGUCUCUC